UACGUAGGGUGCGAGCGUUUGUCCGGAAUUAUUGGGCGUAAAGGGCUCGUAGGCGGUUUGUCGCGUCGGGAGUGAAAACCUCGGGCUUAACUCGGGGCUUGCUUUCGAUACGGGCAGACUAGAGGUAUGCAGGGGAGAACGGAAUUCCUGGUGUAGCGGUGAAAUGCGCAGAUAUCAGGAGGAACACCGGUGGCGAAGGCGGUUCUCGUGGGCAUGAUCUGACGCUGAGGAGCGAAAGUGUGGGGAGCGAACAGG
This 255-nucleotide ribosomal RNA is filed under the name uncultured bacterium. RNAcentral's name for it is "partial 16S ribosomal RNA". It matches the Rfam family "Bacterial small subunit ribosomal RNA", at positions 524 to 776 of the family's 1533-position model. The record is from RNAcentral.